AGUUGGAAACGACUGCUAAUACCGGAUGAUGACGUAAGUCCAAAGAUUUAUCGCCCAGGGAUGAGCCCGCGUAGGAUUAGCUAGUUGGUGGGGUAAAGGCCUACCAAGGCGACGAUCCUUAGCUGGUCUGAGAGGAUGAUCAGCCACACUGGGACUGAGACACGGCCCAGACUCCUACGGGAGGCAGCAGUGGGGAAUAUUGGACAAUGGGGGCAACCCUGAUCCAGCAAUGCCGCGUGAGUGAUGAAGGCCUUAGGGUUGUAAAGCUCUUUUACCCGGGAUGAUAAUGACAGUACCGGGAGAAUAAGCCCCGGCUAACUCCGUGCCAGCAGCCGCGGUA
This 340-nucleotide ribosomal RNA is filed under the name uncultured bacterium. Its description in RNAcentral is "bacterial SSU rRNA". It matches the Rfam family "Bacterial small subunit ribosomal RNA", at positions 148 to 522 of the family's 1533-position model. The record is from RNAcentral.